CGCAUUUUUCGUUUAGUAUGGUGAAUGUGAUAAUGUAAGGGAAAAAUUUGAUGUUACUUUACUAUUAGUGUUGUCCAAACUGGUGCCAGAAGACUCGGUAAUGCCAGAGACGCAAACGUUAGUCGCAUUAACCAGGCGUAAAGGGUGUGUAGGCAGCUUAAAAGUUAUAUUUUUAAAAUAGCUAUUUCAAAUAUUAUAUUAAUAUAUUGAUUUUUAAAAAUUUAAUAAAUUUAAGAUAGAAUCUUAUUGAGGAUAAGCCGAAUAAUGCUUAGAGUAGGGAUAAAAUCCUAAAAUACUAAGUGGAAUACUAAUGGUGAAAGCUUUUUAUCUAAUAAUGAUCGACGCUGAGAAACGAAGGUGAGAAUAGAAAAUAGGAUUAGAGACCCAGAUAUCUCUCACUGUCAACGAUGAAUGGUGGAUUGUUAGUUCUAAGAACUAGUACCGAUGUUAACGCGAUACCAUUCCGCCUUGAGAGUACGGUUG
This 483-nucleotide ribosomal RNA is filed under the name Neonothopanus hygrophanus. Its description in RNAcentral is "SSU rRNA". It matches the Rfam family "Bacterial small subunit ribosomal RNA", at positions 404 to 888 of the family's 1533-position model. Lineage: Eukaryota; Fungi; Basidiomycota; Agaricomycetes; Agaricales; Omphalotaceae. The record is from RNAcentral.